AUGGUGAACACGGCGUCGGCCGGCGUGAACAAGUCGGCGGCGGCGGCGCAGGGGGGUCACCGGGCGCUGCCGCUGGCGUCGCUGAACCACAUCUCCGUGGUGUGCCGGUCGCUGGAGAGCUCGCUCAGCUUCUACCGCGACGUCCUCGGCUUCAUCCAGAUCCGCCGCCCGGGCUCCUUCGACUUCGACGGCGCAUGGCUAUUCAACUUCGGGAUCGGCGUGCACCUGCUGCAGGCGGAGGACCGGGCGAGCCUGCCGCCGAAGAAGGCGGAGAUCAACCCCAAGGACAAUCACAUCUCCUUCACCACGUGCGAGAGCAUGGAGGCGGUGCAGCGGCGGCUCAAGGAGCUGGGCAUCCGGUACGUGCAGCGGCGGGUGGAGGAGGGCGGCAUCCACGUCGACCAGAUCUUCUUCCACGACCCCGACGGCUUCAUGAUCGAGGUCUGCACCUGCGACAACCUCCCCGUCAUCCCGCUCGUCACGCAGCUCGACGCCGCCUGCGCGCAGCCCGCGGUCGUGGCGCCCAGCUGCAAGAGGGUCUCCAUCUCCAACCAGCACCAGCAGCUCAGCAGCAGCGUCCCGGCUGCCGUGCCCGACGUCCCGCCCACGGCGGCCCCGACGUCGCAGCAGUCCGUCGGCGGCGGCUGCGUCGGAGAGGUCGUCGACCCGGCGGCCAGCAUGUCCGCCAGCGUCAUGACGACCUGCUCGGAGCACGCCUGCAUGCAGGUGUAA
Molecule: ribosomal RNA, 732 nt
Filed under: Triticum aestivum (bread wheat)
Lineage: Eukaryota; Viridiplantae; Streptophyta; Magnoliopsida; Poales; Poaceae
Description: partial small subunit ribosomal RNA
Source: RNAcentral